Molecule: long non-coding RNA, 232 nt
Organism: Symphalangus syndactylus (siamang)
Lineage: Eukaryota; Metazoa; Chordata; Mammalia; Primates; Hylobatidae
Source: RefSeq, a predicted model, not a curated record
GACAGACUGGGUUAUGGCAACAUCAAACCAAGCAGCAGAUGAUGAUGUAAAAUGUCUUACAAGGUGGUUACCCAACAUUUCCCUCAGAACAGCAUCGGUGCAUUAAGAAGUGCCAUGUUCCUCAGAUUAUCAAUCCUGCCAUUGUCUCACCAUAUGAAGCAGGGAUUUUAGAUAAAAAGCCACCACCUAGAAUCAAAAGGGGCUUGAAGUUAAUGUCAAAGAUACUUCAGAG